CUUCCAUCAUCCCAGUAAAUCACAAGAAUCCAAGUGAAAUAGUGGAACCAAAUUUGACAUUGUGUGUGGAUACUUGUAUAAUGAGAUAAAAUUCAUUCACCCAGACGUCAUAUAAGGUACAAGAUUAUUAUUUCAAAAAACAAAUCAAAACAACAAAACACAUUGUGUGUGGAUACUUGUAUAAUGGGAUAAAAUUCAUUCACCCAGACGUCAUAUAAGGUACAAGAUUAUUAUUUCAAAAAACAAAUCAAAACAACAAAACAAACGCUGAAUACACUAAGCUAAAUUGUAAGAAUUAGUGUAUGAAAAGUCUUGGGCGUGUGAGUUAUCAACAUCUUAGAACAUAAUACACAUAUACACAAGAUCAAGAAUAAAACCAUCAUCAAAAUAUAUCAUUCACUGCUACUUUUCCAUACUUC
This 419-nucleotide long non-coding RNA is filed under the name Lotus japonicus. RNAcentral describes it as "long non-coding RNA (LJAP_LNC002050)". Lineage: Eukaryota; Viridiplantae; Streptophyta; Magnoliopsida; Fabales; Fabaceae. The record is from RNAcentral.